GUAACAAGGGGAUAACGAAUAAGGUGAUUUAGGGGUAGGCUAUUACAUAAUAUAAUAGUUACAAUCUCUUGUUCGUAUGCGUUACUAUUCAAACAUCUUCAAUAUUUAUUACUUACUUUCCUUUCUAUUUGCCGACUAGCGAUGACUAGUCGGUUUUUUA
This 160-nucleotide small RNA is filed under the name Staphylococcus sp. HMSC071G07. RNAcentral describes it as "RNA S.aureus Orsay G". It matches the Rfam family "RNA S.aureus Orsay G". The record is from Rfam by way of RNAcentral. Lineage: Bacteria; Bacillati; Bacillota; Bacilli; Caryophanales; Staphylococcaceae.